UCACUGGACCCCGGUGAAGGAGUUGAGCAGAGUAAUAUCUGAGCGAAAAAAUUGAGGGGCGUGCUUUGGUUGUGCUCUCAGCCAGGUUAUUUUACGAGGGUUGUGUGCACUGAACCCCAUUUCUCUGGACCAAGGGACGAUGAACAAGAUGGGAAUGAGAAGGAUGCUACUAAUCCGGAGUAGUAAUAUUGGAUUACAAGUCAUGGGUUAGUAGUUAACUGCAGAAAUCAGAAUAUUGGAUAGCAGUAACUAAGGCCAUUGGCAAUUUCUAUCAUAUAUCAUAAUUUAUUUGUGUGAUUCCUUUACCAACUACAUGUUUCUAUUUGUUUCCUAUAUUUUGUUUGUUCCUGAAUAUUUUAUGAAUUGUGUAUUUCUAUUUUAAUACAUAAGACUCUUUUUCAUGCAAUUUACUGAAUGGCCUAUAUGAGAAGCCCUAAAUAAAGCUAUUCCUCAUUUGUACACUUUCUUACUUAUAUAGUUCAAAAUAUGGAAUUCUCUGCAGGUUAACUAAUACAUGCAUCAGCUUUGUAUCAUAAAGAUUUCACCAUCCCAAGGUAAUCGAAAUAAGUUCACAAGAUUCUCAUGUUGAGGUCUGUACAAAGAGAUACAAGGCAAUGUCUGUGUGCUGGAAGGAGAAACUCACUGCCAAAGCUAUAAUCCCUGAUGCUAAAGCCUGCAUGUUCAGAUCUGCAGAGUUUACUCAUAUUACUGUAUGAAUGAUUAAUACAGAGGGAGCCCUUUUGUCAGGUCAUUUAAUCAUUAAAUCAUACGUACAUCAUCUCAGGUAACUUACUACUACCUUUGUUCGAAAAUAAGUGCCGUUAACUUAGUACACCUUUGCACUAAAAUUGUACUAAAUCCGUGACACUUAUUUUGGGACAGAGGGAGUAUUUCAUUUUCUACCUGAACCAAGUUGUUAUUUCAUCUCUAAGAGGCAAAGAGUUCCUCAUGGUUAGUUUGCCACAUUUUAUAUGUCUAUCUAUGUGCAUUACUAAUUCACUAUAUGCACCUUUAGUUCCCAGUUUUGGCUCACUUUCUUGAUGCAUCUCGGAUGAGAGGAAAGGAAUGGAUAAUCUGACAAGCAAUGUUCGGGCAUACCCUUAUAUUUACGUCUGAUGUAAUGCUGCGGAUGCAAACUAAUCAAGACUACUGCCAUGAGCAAAAGAGCAGACAUUACUUAUGAGAAAACAAUAAAAGAAUCUUCCGUGACUACAUACCACGACGAGUCAAAGACGAUGAAAGCACUACUCCAUUGGUGG
Aegilops tauschii subsp. strangulata is the source of this 1259-nucleotide RNA transcript. RefSeq lists it as uncharacterized. The record is from RefSeq and is a predicted model, not a curated record. NCBI's taxonomy places the organism in Eukaryota, Viridiplantae, Streptophyta, Magnoliopsida, Poales, Poaceae.